This 438-nucleotide long non-coding RNA is filed under the name Salvia miltiorrhiza (redroot sage). Its description in RNAcentral is "long non-coding RNA (SMIL_LNC009870)". Lineage: Eukaryota; Viridiplantae; Streptophyta; Magnoliopsida; Lamiales; Lamiaceae. The record is from RNAcentral.
UUAUAAAUAUUUUUAAAAAUAUAAAUAUAAAAAUAUAUAUUAUAUAUUUUAAAACUAUAGAUUUUGAUAUAUCAGAAUAAGGUAUUGUACCUUAUUACCGGUAUAUACCGAAUAUUAAGGUAUACUAGAAUAAGGUAUGAUACCGCAUCACCGGUAUAUACAGUAAUAUUCGGUAUACCAGUAAUACGGUAUCAUACUGUGUUCAGGUAUAUACCUUUAAUACGGUAUUUAUUGAUUUUUCCGGUAUAUACCGCGGUAUCGGUAUACACCGGUAUACCCCGGUAUCUGGAAAAUCCAUACCUUUACCUUACCGUAAAUUUUCGGUACGGUAUCAUAUCUUACCAAAAAAACCGGUAUACCUUAAAUUCGGUAUUUUCCGGUAUUUUACGGUACGGUAUGGCCGGUAUACCGAGUUUUCGGUAUAUUUUUCCAGCCCUA